This 70-nucleotide transfer RNA is filed under the name Dipodomys ordii (Ord's kangaroo rat). It matches the Rfam family "tRNA". From Rfam's summary of the family: Transfer RNA (tRNA) molecules are approximately 80 nucleotides in length. The record is from Rfam by way of RNAcentral. Lineage: Eukaryota; Metazoa; Chordata; Mammalia; Rodentia; Heteromyidae.
GGAAAAGUAGCUCAGCAGUAGAGUGCUUGCCUUGCAUGCAUGAGGCCCUGGGUUCGAUUCCUCAGCACCA